UAGCGUCUCCUGAGGUGCUGCUGAAACUGCCCCACACCAGACCAACAUCGUCAAAUCUCUGGGGGCGAAGCCAAUGCCUCAGUUCCCCGGGUGAUUUUAUGCUGCUAGUUUUGUGAAUCACUGGUCCAAAAACAAAAAGAUGGCCAGGGUGACUCUUUCAGGACCAAAGGCCAGCUUAGUGGACAAGUAUUCUAACGAAAUCCACAGGCAGCAGUUAUACCAGCCCCAGGAAACAUAAGCAUCAGCAAAAGACGUGAUUGUCAGAUGACCCUCCUACUACUGUAUUUGGAGUUAAGUUUCCUCGAGGGAUGAAUGGGCAGCCAAGUCUUUGCAGCUCCAGUGCCUGCGGACACAAGACUCUGGGAAGUGGGGGAGGGAAGGAAGCCAGGAACUGGUAACAACUUCCAGCAUUAAAGCAGUGACUAAUACUAAUUAUGCCGCUCCGACCAGCCAUCAAGCAGACCUAUUUUCGCUAUGAAUUAAUGCAGAGUGACCUACUUUUCUACAUAGUAUUUAUUAUUUGUGCUGCUGUUUUAUCGAUUUUGAGACUGUUAUGUUACAGAGGAAUGGAAAAAUCUAAUAUAAUAAAACUCCUCUCAUUGAAAAUAAUAAAGUCACAUCACAAAAUACAAAUUUAUU
Long non-coding RNA from Bubalus bubalis (water buffalo), 639 nucleotides. RefSeq lists it as uncharacterized. The transcript is spliced from 3 exons. NCBI's taxonomy places the organism in Eukaryota, Metazoa, Chordata, Mammalia, Artiodactyla, Bovidae. The record is from RefSeq and is a predicted model, not a curated record.